UGCAAGCUAUAGCUAUCUAGGUUAUUCUGUUUCGUGAUGAUCCUUACAGAAAAUAAUAUAAAUGAGAUGGAAAAGGGAGCGGCAAAGGAAUGGGGCUUAAACGCAACGUUUAAAGGGGGACAGAACACUGCAGCAUGGCAAUUUGAGUGUUGAACAAAGUCAUCUGUCCUGGCUGAAAUGCACAAGAAUACUAGUUCUUUGCCAAAUGUAUCUAGCAGGAAACAAAUGCCAGAUGGAAGUGAUGGCAAACUUAAGACAGCAAGACACCCUCGAUGGGCAAGACAAGAAACUUUUGUUCUCUUACAAGGUAAAAGAGUUGAAGAGAGCCAAAUUCAAGAGGAUCACCUUCGAAUUCAGGCUUUGCACUGGGCCACAAUAAAUCCAAGUGGGAUUCAAUCUCAUCAUACUGUAAACAGCAUGGUGUGAACUGAGCACCAGUACAAUGCCAGAAAAGAUGGAGUAAUCUUCUUGUAGAUUUCAAUAAGAUCAAAAAUGGGAAUCUAAUGCCAGCAGUUCCAUUGGCACUGCUUUCAACCAUUAUAGUUCCAGAAGAUGGUAAGAGUUAUGAGAUCAUGACAAUGGCACAGAAAGAAGAUGGAGAUAACAAGGAAGGAACACUUGUGGAUAGCAGUCAGCAAGUUCUUGCAGAAGGUGGUUUAUCCGAUUCUGAACCACCUGGAUACAAGGAAAUUGACCAGAGCCAAGAAAAAGAAACAUAUGGAAAAGCAAGUCCCAACAAGACAGUUGCUAGCCCUUUGCACAUUUCAGAUCAGUCAUUUUGUAUCAACAUUAUUGAAACUUCAGAUAUCAGUGACUUUGUUACUUUCUAGGAGUUGUUUCUAAUAUCUGAAUCCUAGAUCAUUCAAGGAAAUUAAUAUCUAAAAUUAGUUUUUUGUCUUGCAGGUAUGAGGAAAGAGAAGUUUCGAGAAUCAAGUAAAUGUACAGGAUCUACAUCUCAGGAAAACUGGAAGAGGAGGUUGUCAUUAUGUGUUACUGAGGACAUGAACAUGAGGUAUCGCUUGAUCAAGGUUCUAGAGAGGAACAAUAGCAUGCCAAAUGCCCAACUUGAAGCACAUAACAUCAAUUGCCAACCGGAUAGGGACCAAAGGAAAGAGCAUUUGGAUAGCAUGCCGUGAAUAAGCUCACAGAUGCUUUACUGAGAAUUGCUAAUAAUUUCUAGGAGAAAAUGCAAUAGCAGAGAUCCUAGCAAAACUCCCACCAGUGUAGCUGAACAUAUGGGAAAUGUCUAAUAGACACCACAACAGAUCUCAGGCAUGCUUUUACUUUCUUUCUCAAAUCCGUGAUCAACAAGACGCUCCACUAUCUGCCAAGAUCUCACCCCAAUCUUUUCCUCCCUUCUGGUUUAGCACUGAAAUAAGGUAGGUAAAGUGGCGCAUUGUCAGAUAAGAGAGAUCUUAUGGUUUAGCAAUGUGAUAUUGGAAUUAUCUAGUAUCAUUUGCAAGACUCAUUAUCUUGUUACUUA
Long non-coding RNA from Mangifera indica (mango), 1483 nucleotides. RefSeq lists it as uncharacterized. The transcript is spliced from 2 exons. The record is from RefSeq and is a predicted model, not a curated record. NCBI's taxonomy places the organism in Eukaryota, Viridiplantae, Streptophyta, Magnoliopsida, Sapindales, Anacardiaceae.